AUCACCCACAAUGUGUUCUCCAUCUCAUCAAAUGUAUGCAUACAAUCAUCUCUCGUUCCGUUUUGGCGGAACGUAUACCUAUACCUCUUUUUAUUUCUCUUUAUUGAUAUUAAAAGGGCAUCGGAGGUAUAAAAAAGGAGUGUCAUCAGCGACGAUGAUCAUCGAUUAUCAUGUUUUAAGACUCUUUCUAAAGGUUCUUUUGUUCGAAAAGUUUGG
Molecule: non-coding RNA, 216 nt
Organism: Caenorhabditis elegans
Lineage: Eukaryota; Metazoa; Nematoda; Chromadorea; Rhabditida; Rhabditidae
Source: Ensembl